UACGAAGGGGGCUAGCGUUGCUCGGAAUCACUGGGCGUAAAGGGUGCGUAGGCGGGUCUUUAAGUCAGGGGUGAAAUCCUGGAGCUCAACUCCAGAACUGCCUUUGAUACUAAAGAUCUUGAGUUCGGGAGAGGUGAGUGGAACUGCGAGUGUAGAGGUGAAAUUCGUAGAUAUUCGCAAGAACACCAGUGGCGAAGGCGGCUCACUGGCCCGAUACUGACGCUGAGGCACGAAAGCGUGGGGAGCAAACAGG
This 253-nucleotide ribosomal RNA is filed under the name uncultured bacterium. Its description in RNAcentral is "partial 16S ribosomal RNA". It matches the Rfam family "Bacterial small subunit ribosomal RNA", at positions 524 to 776 of the family's 1533-position model. The record is from RNAcentral.